This 357-nucleotide long non-coding RNA is filed under the name Rosa chinensis. RNAcentral describes it as "sRNA RchiOBHm_Chr1g0382081". The record is from RNAcentral. Lineage: Eukaryota; Viridiplantae; Streptophyta; Magnoliopsida; Rosales; Rosaceae.
UGACAUGCUCUGCGACGACGCCGUUAGUCACCUCAAUUCCUCGUCUCGAGGUUGCAGUGGCUCAAACGAAAGCUGGAAUAGGGGAGCAAGACUGAGCACUUAGAGGCGCAGAGGUUCUCCUUGUACGACAUAACUUGGACGUAGUGCAUAUUGAGAAGAAUAUAUGUCAUGGUAUUCUUGGUACACUUUUGAAAUUGAAGGGGAAGUCUAAAGAUGGUCUCAACUCUCGUAAAGAUCUGGAAGCUAUGCAGAUCGGACAAGAUUUACACCCGAAAAUAAGAGGAAAAAAGUUUCUGUUUUUUUUUCUUGUAAGGAAAAAGCUCUACUUAGCAUGUUUUGUAAGGAAUUAUGUAUAAG